GGGGGGUUAGCUCAGCGGGAGAGCUCCUGCCUUACAAGCAGGCUGUCGCCAGUUCAAAUCUGGCAUCCCCCA
This 72-nucleotide transfer RNA is filed under the name Spirochaetales bacterium. RNAcentral describes it as "tRNA-Val". It matches the Rfam family "tRNA". From Rfam's summary of the family: Transfer RNA (tRNA) molecules are approximately 80 nucleotides in length. Their secondary structure includes four short double-helical elements and three loops (D, anti-codon, and T loops). Lineage: Bacteria; Pseudomonadati; Spirochaetota; Spirochaetia; Spirochaetales. RNAcentral also lists the same sequence under 1 other name. The record is from RNAcentral.